GGGCUCUUGGCCGAGCGGUCUAAGGCGCUGCAUUCAAGUCGCAGUAUCUCACGAUGCAAGGGUUCGAACCCCUUAGAGCUCA
Molecule: non-coding RNA, 82 nt
Organism: Pelagophyceae sp. CCMP2097
Lineage: Eukaryota; Pelagophyceae
Source: the annotation of a GenBank genome assembly